RNAcentral lists this ribosomal RNA (253 nucleotides) under uncultured bacterium. RNAcentral describes it as "partial 16S ribosomal RNA". It matches the Rfam family "Bacterial small subunit ribosomal RNA", at positions 524 to 776 of the family's 1533-position model. The record is from RNAcentral.
UACGUAGGGGGCAAGCGUUGUCCGGAUUCAUUGGGCGUAAAGAGCGUGUAGGCGGCCAGGUAGGUCGGUUGUGAAAACUGGAGGCUCAACCUUCAGAGGUCGACCGAAACCAUCUGGCUAGAGUCCGGGAGAGGAGAGUGGAAUUCCUGGUGUAGCGGUGAAAUGCGCAGAUAUCGGGAAGAACACCCGUGGCGAAAGCGGCUCUCUGGAACGCAACUGACGCUGAGACGCGAAAGCGUGGGGAGCAAACAGG